Molecule: non-coding RNA, 312 nt
Organism: Schizosaccharomyces pombe (fission yeast)
Lineage: Eukaryota; Fungi; Ascomycota; Schizosaccharomycetes; Schizosaccharomycetales; Schizosaccharomycetaceae
Source: the annotation of a GenBank genome assembly
GGGCAAAGAAAUCCAGCUCUUGCCAGCCUCGCCAAUAACAAAGACGUUAGAAAGUCGGGUAGCAAACUCACGAUCCAAAGCAUCCUUAACGUGAAUAAUUUCAAAAGAGCCAAGAUGAUGCUCACGAUGAACAAUGGUACCAACACGACCCAUGUUACGGCCACCAGUAACCAUAACUUGAGCAGAGGUGUCGAAUUUGAUGAAAGACUCAAUUUUAUUGGUUUCCAAGUUAAGCUUAAUGGUAUCAUUGACCUUAAUCAAAGGAUCAGGAUAACGGAUAGUACGUCCAUCAUGAGUGACAAGGAAAGGGAC